UACGUAGGGGGCAAGCGUUGUCCGGAAUCAUUGGGCGUAAAGAGCUCGUAGGCGGCCUGUUGCGUCCGCUGUGAAAUCCCGAGGCUCAACCUCGGGUCUGCAGUCGAUACGGGCAAACUAGAGUAUUGCAGGGGAGACUGGAAUUCCUGGUGUAGCGGUGAAAUGCGCAGAUAUCAGGAGGAACACCGGUGGCGAAGGCGGGUCUCUGGGCAAUAACUGACGCUGAGGAGCGAAAGCGUGGGGAGCGAACAGG
RNAcentral lists this ribosomal RNA (253 nucleotides) under uncultured bacterium. Its description in RNAcentral is "partial 16S ribosomal RNA". It matches the Rfam family "Bacterial small subunit ribosomal RNA", at positions 524 to 776 of the family's 1533-position model. The record is from RNAcentral.